GACGAACGUUGGCGGCGUGCUUAAUACAUGCAAGUCAACUGAAGCAGUGGUAGCAAUAUCGCUGUGGAGGUGGCGCACGGGUGAGUAACACGUAGGUAAUCUGCCUUCAGGUCUGGCAUAACUCCGGGAAACCGGGGCUAAUAGCAGAUGGUGCAGCGGCUCGACAUCGAGACAGUUGUUAAAGCUAUGGCGCCUGAAGAUGAGCCUGCGUCUGAUUAGCUAGUUGGCGGGGUAACGGCCCACCAAGGCAACGAUCAGUAGCUGGUCUGAGAGGAUGAUCAGGCACACUGGAACGGAGCAACGGUCCAGACUCCGACGGGAGGCAGCAGUAAGGAAUAUUGCUCAAUGGGAGAAAUCCUGAAGCAGCAACGCCGCGUGAGGGACGAAGGGCUUUUGCUUGUAAACCUCUGUAGUGAGAGAAAAAAAUCCCAAUCUGUGGGACAUGAUGGUAUCUAAAAAGUAAGCCCCGGCUAACUACGUG
This 481-nucleotide ribosomal RNA is filed under the name uncultured bacterium. Its description in RNAcentral is "partial 16S ribosomal RNA". It matches the Rfam family "Bacterial small subunit ribosomal RNA", at positions 28 to 507 of the family's 1533-position model. The record is from RNAcentral.